GGGAGUUGGGGCUUGGGGGGCGGCGGCGGCAGGACGAACGGCCGGGGUGCGCACCUGGGGCCCCCUGGCCAUGGCCGCGAAGGUGGAUCUGAACACCUGCACCGACUGGAAGGAGGCAAAAUCCUUUCUGAAAGGCCUGAGUGACAAGCAGAGGGAGGAGCAUUACUUCUGCCGGGACUUCGUGAGGCUGAAGAAGAUCCCAACGUGGAAGGAGAUGGCAAAAGGAGUAUCUGUGAAAGUGGAGGAGCCCAAGUACAAGAAGGAUAAGCAGCUGAAUGAGAAGAUCUCGCUGUUCCGCGGUGAUAUCACCAAGCUGGAGGUGGAUGCCAUUGUGAAUGCCGGUUGCUCUUGGACAAUUCCCACUGUCACUUGGAGCCAGCUGUUGGAGCUGACGGCCCCCCACCACCAAGGGGAUAAGAUCUCGCCCAGAACAGGUAUUGCUAGUUGGGGUGGGGGACCGUGCCAGUCCUUCCUGCCACCCCGCAAUGUGAAGAGGCUGAAAGUCCCUUCACCUGGAGUGAACCUGGGGUGGGAACCACAGGCCCCGUGUUGGGAGGCAUGGAUUCUGUCAGAAACCUUACAUGCGCCACCUCAUAGUAGGCACCCAAGCUGGUACUGCUGUUGCCCCACUUUACAGAUGAGUUAAUUGAGGCCCACAGAGGUCCAGUCACUUGCUAACAGUCAACUGGCCAACGGAAGAAAUUCUCUCCAGAACAAGUCCUUAGGACCCUUGAGCAGCAUCCCAGGGUGCCAACAACACAUCAGUCUGGAUGCUGAGGUAGUUGGCGUCAUUUUCCGGUGGGGAAGAAGGGCAAACCCAGCUGGAAUCCCUCUUGCACAGUCUGGGAUAGGCUCCAUCUCAGAUCAGGUCUCCGGUCUUGACUCCGGGCCAGUCUGGCUAGGUGGGGAAGAGCCUGCCAGGAGGUCCCCAGCUCCCAAGGGACAUACAGCAGGGCCACCCACUUGUCCCCACCAUGCACCAUGAUCUCUAACUCCCUGCCUCUGUCCCACCUGACUGCACAGAGACAGCUGUGCCCAGCUGGCCCCAGGGGCCUCAUCCUCCUGCACCACAGCAGCCUCUUCUUGACAACGGCCACUGCACUGGGCCUCUGCAGGCAGUCAGCUCGUUCCAGGCCUGUCUCUCUGUCCCUUGACACUGCCUUAUCAGGGCCACUUGGGGCUCUGUCCCACUCACUAACUUUGAUGUGGGUACAUCCACCUGCCAUCUUUUUGUGCACUGCUCCUCCUUGCUUGUCCAAAUACAGGGUGCCCACCUGACCUCACAGAGGAUGCUGCUAUAUCUUCCUGCCCCAGCCAAGGUCACUGGGUCUCCAGGGACAGUGGGUCCCUGCUUGGCCACCAGCUCUGAGUCUGUGGAGCUGUCCUGUAGGCCUCCCUUUGCAGCCCUGGCAGCAGGUGAUACAGUUGGGUAGCAGCAUCACCUCCCUAGAAACAAGCUGGGUGGAUCUCCCAGGAGCAUCUCUGGGAGAUCUCAAAGGAGCAAGAGGGGAGCGUAGGGAGGACACCACACGCUGAGGCCUAGCAUGAGGCUACAGCUGGGCUGGGGACUCUGACCCAGCCUUCCAAGGUCUGCAGACAACCUGACCCCUGGGGACCCCUUCCACUUAGGAACUGGACUAUUAAGGACAUUUAAUUUCUGGGUGUGGUGGCACACGUCUGUAAUCCCAUGACUCCUGAGGCUGAGGCAGGAAGAUCGCUGCAAGUUUGAAGCCAGCCUGGACUACAUAGUAAAUUCAAGACCAAUCUGAAAUAUAUAGGGGGACUCUAGUUGACAUAUGCAAAUACAUCUUACAUUGCAGCCCCCACCCACCCCCAGCUAACAUCUGAGAGGUGGGUACAGGCAAGCAACCCCAUUUUAGCAAGGGAAACUGAGGCACAGAGAGGUAAAGGGAGUUGAAACCACUAAAUUGUAGAGUGUGGACACACAGACUCAGGUCUCAUGAAGUCAGCACAGGGUACCCCUGCCAAGGGGGCGUGUGCUGCCCAAACUCUGCAGGGAGGUUUUUAAAAACAAUAUAUCCCAUCUCCGUGUCUGUAUGAGAACUCAGGAGGGGGUGUGCCAACAUGAUCCCCUACCCCCACAUCCUGUCUGCCUUUCUCUACCUGUCCAUGGCUGAUCCCUCAGCCAGACGUUAACAGCCCUUCAGCUCUCCGGACCCCUCAGACCUCCCCGGGACCCUCACUGCAAAUCCAGCUCUGUCCCCUCCCAGGCUUUGGCCCUGGCAGCUCAGACCAUUUCCAUUUUAAACCUUCUGAGGAAGCCCUGAACUGUCACCCACAGAGCAGCACCAGCUGACAGGUGAUGUUUGCGCCUCUCCUCCUGGGGCUGGCAGGAGAGCCAGAGUUGGCUUUCAACUCCAGAAACCUGAGCCCUGAGCCCCUCAUUGCGGAGCCUCUCCCUGAGACCAGGGCAGCCAGGUCCUCCUCUCCACCAUCAGCACCCUGGGUUGUGGCCAGGCCGUAUCCCACACACAGGCAGCCCUCCCCCAACUCCUAAGCCACAUGGGGAGGGGCCAGGAUAGGGCUGGUUCCCACCCCUGUGGGUGCAGGGGCCCCUACCUCAGCCCCUCCACCCACCUUGGCUUCAUGUAUUCCCAACAGAGCCUUGGCUUGGACCUUGGCGGGGCCUGGCACACCCCAGCUAGGCUUCCCUCUCUCAAAGCCACACACCCUAGAGAGCCCCGACGCCCUCCCGGGCCAGUGGGGAGCCUGGGGCAGCUCCCUGGUGUCACCGCUUCACAACUUUCUUCUCCUCGGAGAGCUCAGAUCAGCCACCGUUCCGCAGCCCGGCAACAGCUCCCCAGCCUUCUGCCCCUGGGCCUCUGGUCCCCGGUGGAGGAGGGGGUGCGCCCAGUCUGUUGCUUCCUUGCUUGGAGAGCUGAGGUGUGCGCCGCCCCCAGCCUGGUAGCCCCACCGUUCCAGCCGCCAGGUGCACGGCCAACCCCCGCCGGCGCGGUCUGACAGUCCAUAGCGCGCAGGGAGGGAAGUUGGAGGCUGCCUAUGCCCCCCUUGAAGUCGUUUUAAAAAUAAAACCUCGCUCUAACCGUGACUCACGCGGCUGGCGGGGACCAGAGCGCGGCGCCCCGGCCAGCCUGCCG
Long non-coding RNA from Fukomys damarensis (Damara mole-rat), 3119 nucleotides. Lineage: Eukaryota; Metazoa; Chordata; Mammalia; Rodentia; Bathyergidae. The record is from Ensembl.